Molecule: long non-coding RNA, 415 nt
Organism: Oreochromis niloticus (Nile tilapia)
Lineage: Eukaryota; Metazoa; Chordata; Actinopteri; Cichliformes; Cichlidae
Exons: 3
Source: RefSeq, a predicted model, not a curated record
UGAGCUUCCUUGGUCCUGCUCAUGUGGCCCCUCUCUCACCUGGAGCUGAUUGAGGCAAUUAGGCUGGGAGAGUUAAGCUCCAUGUUGAUGUCCGUUCCUUGCCAGUAACUGUAUGUUGGAGGGGGGGGUUGUCCCAGAACCUCCAUGGCUCAGAACUCCUCAUCUCUUGGAAUCUGGCUCACCUACCCGCUCUCUGGAAAUCUCUCCAUGCCUCACCUGCCUGUCAUCUCACUAUCUCGGAACCAACAGAACUCAGUGUGACCAUACGUACCAGUCACACUCCCGCUGCUUUCCCAGUCCGGUUUCCCUGUUUUGCCACAGCCACGUUACCAACCACUGUAUAUUUUGUCACUGCCAAGUGUUAGUUGUGUUAGUUAAAUAAACAUUGUUAAAUCAUUCCUUCUGCCUCUGCUCU